RNAcentral lists this ribosomal RNA (331 nucleotides) under Providencia huaxiensis. RNAcentral's name for it is "bacterial SSU rRNA". It matches the Rfam family "Bacterial small subunit ribosomal RNA", at positions 1 to 330 of the family's 1533-position model. The record is from RNAcentral. Lineage: Bacteria; Pseudomonadati; Pseudomonadota; Gammaproteobacteria; Enterobacterales; Morganellaceae.
UAAUUGAAGAGUUUGAUCAUGGCUCAGAUUGAACGCUGGCGGCAGGCCUAACACAUGCAAGUCGAGCGGUAACAGGAGAAGCUUGCUUCUCGCUGACGAGCGGCGGACGGGUGAGUAAUGUAUGGGGAUCUGCCCGAUAGAGGGGGAUAACUACUGGAAACGGUAGCUAAUACCGCAUAAUCUCUUAGGAGCAAAGCAGGGGAACUUCGGUCCUUGCGCUAUCGGAUGAACCCAUAUGGGAUUAGCUAGUUGGUGAGGUAAUGGCUCACCAAGGCGACGAUCUCUAGCUGGUCUGAGAGGAUGAUCAGCCACACUGGGACUGAGACACGGC